Molecule: long non-coding RNA, 500 nt
Organism: Orcinus orca (killer whale)
Lineage: Eukaryota; Metazoa; Chordata; Mammalia; Artiodactyla; Delphinidae
Exons: 2
Source: RefSeq, a predicted model, not a curated record
AAUACUGCUUGUGGAGUUUUUUUAAAUGUACAGAAGCUUACCAAAAAGCACAAGUUACUGUUUUUCCCUCAGACCCACUCCUCACAGUGUACAGUGGAGUUUUCCAGCGCCUGCAUGAUAUGUGACAUUGCAGCAGACUGAAUGCAGAAGGAGACAUGAGAAUCCAGAAGUGAAGAGGCUUGCAAAAAUGCAGAGCAAUGCCACUCUCCUCAUUAAAAUGGCUUUUGGGAGAUGCAAGAGGGAAGACAUAUGGGAACAUAUGUAUAUGUAUAACUGAUUCACUUUGUUAUAAAGCAGAAACUGACACACCAUUGUAAAGCAAUUAUACUCUAAUAAAGAUGUUAAAAAAAAAAGACCCAACACAGCCAAAAUAAAUUUUAAAAAUUUUAAAUAUAAAUAAAUAAAAUGGCUUGUUUUGGAAAAAAUAUCUGUUAUGGUUAUUUAUGCUAAUAUGUAAUGGAUUUAUUCUUUUUAAACGAAUUAAUAAAGCUUUUAUAGUU